GCGCUUGUUUGUGUGCUAAUGAGUCAUUUGCAAAUAUUGACGCGCGAAAGCCAGGCGUCCUUGCACAAGAGCACCACCGACCGUUCUUGAUAACACCCGCCGCGUGCAACGUUGCUCUUUUUGUUAAUAGUGCUGUGUGCCCUCCGCGUGUCAUUAUCACCUCAGAAGCUGUCCAUCCCAGGCGUCUGUGGCGUGAUGAAAAAAAUUAAAAUGGCCAAGAUGGAAGGAAGCGGGAGAUAAGCAGAAGCGCGCUUCCUUUCUGGCUGCACCAGGCUGGAAAAAAAGAGAGAGAUAUCGACAGGCGAGCCGGCGGCGAUUCGCUCGUGCAAUUUUCUUCUGCGACUAGGAAGCAAAAAAAGAGACGCGCGAGCGGCCCCGACAAAAUAAAGAAAAAAAAAACACACUCACGCGAGAGAGUGUGUUUUCGAGAGCACGUGUGCUGACGUGAUGCGCCGUCAGACUCUUUCAAGGUUGCGCGCGGUGCCCCUCAAAAUUGACGCCAAAUUAAUAGCAGACGAAACAACAGUGGGAGUGCAGAAAAAAAUUGCACAGCAUCUUCUCUCGCUGGAGAUGCUGUAAUUGCUGCACGGAAUGAGUCUGCAGCGCAUUGUUUGGAAAUGAGCGCCAGUGUGGGCCGCUGAGAUGAUGAGGUUUUGCUUUUUAAGGGGCCAUUAUUAUUUUGUUCGAAUCACUUAAGCAGCUGCGCGGUGCAAAAGAAUGAAAUUACCAAUUGUGAGCACCGCUCGAACGAGUCCGAAAUAAAGAGGCUUUCGCCGAAAUGCUGUGACUCGCCAGAAAAUAAAUUUUCGGUCGCCACUUUCGCUAAACGGAUAAUGCAUUUAACAUAAAAAAGUAAUGAAAUUGGUUUCCGGCCAUUUAACCAGAUGAAAGCGCAAAUCAUGUGAUUGAGAAAUAUUGUGACAUAGCAUCAAAUAUAUGAUUACUUUCAAUUUUUAACAUAAUGACACGUGUAAAAACUAUAAAUAUAAAUAAUUACUUCAUUAGAGAAAUCUGAAUGAAGUCUUAAAGAUU
Molecule: long non-coding RNA, 1032 nt
Organism: Neocloeon triangulifer
Lineage: Eukaryota; Metazoa; Arthropoda; Insecta; Ephemeroptera; Baetidae
Exons: 3
Source: RefSeq, a predicted model, not a curated record